Molecule: long non-coding RNA, 1875 nt
Filed under: Micromonas pusilla
Lineage: Eukaryota; Viridiplantae; Chlorophyta; Mamiellophyceae; Mamiellales; Mamiellaceae
Description: long non-coding RNA (MPUS_LNC000155)
Source: RNAcentral
GCGGAUCAAAAGUCGCGCGACGCGUUUUUGUCGUCGCACGUCGACCUCGUCGCGGGCGUCGUCAACCUCGCCAAGAAGGUCCAGGCGGACGAGGACCUCGUCGCGCUCAUCAAGAAGAAGCACGCGAUCAAGUGCACGACGGGGUACUCCAUGAACGCGCUCGUGGACUUCCCGCCGGAGGACCCGAUCGAGAUCAUCAAGCGGCUCAUGAUCGGCAGCGAAGGCACGCUCGGGUUCGUGUCCAGGGCGACGUACAACACCGUGGUGGACCACCCGCACAAGGCGAGCGCGUUCAUCGUGUUUAAGGAUGUUCAGGAAGCGUGCCGCGCGGCGGCGGUGCUGCGGAGGGAGACGACCGUGGACGCGGUGGAGCUCUUCGACCGCGCGUCGCUGACGCAGUGCGAGGGACACGAGCAGAUCAUCGGGCUGGUGCCGACCAUCGCGGACGCGCCGAAGCGCGGCGCCGCGUUGCUCAUCGAGUGCCGCGGCGCGACGGACGAGGAGCUGGACGUCGCGAUUAAGGAGGUGUCCACGUCCCUGGACGGCGCGAACUUGGCGUACCUCAACGAUCGCGUGUCCACGUACCCGUUCAUGAAGGACGAGGCGGUGUACAAGGUGUACUGGGACGUGAGGAAAGGGCUGAUUCCCCUCGUCGGGUCUUCGCGCAGCGCGGGGACGUCGGUGCUCAUCGAGGACGUCGCGUGCGAGGUGGACAAGCUCGGGGACAUGACCCAGGACCUGAUCGACAUGUUCGAGCGGUUCGGAUACGACGACGCGUCGUGCAUGGGCCACGCGCUCGAGGGCAACUUGCACCUGGUGUUUUCGCAGGGCUUCCGGAACGACGAGGAAGUGAAGCGGUACGCCGCGAUGAUGGAGGAGAUGUGCGAGAUCGUCGCGACUAAAUACAAGGGAUCGCUCAAGGCGGAGCACGGCACGGGAAGGAACGUCGCGCCGUUCGUGGAGAUGGAAUGGGGGAACAAGGCGUACGAGCUCAUGUGGGAGCUCAAAGAGCUGUUCGACCCCGAGUACGUGUUGAACCCCGGGGUGAUUCUCUCCAGGGACAAGGACAUGCACCAGAAGUUUUUGAAGCCCAAGCCCGUGGCGGACCCGAUCGUGGACAUGUGCAUGGAGUGCGGUUUUUGCGAGAGCAACUGCCCCUCGCGCGAUCUGAGCCUCACGCCGAGGCAGCGCAUCACGGUGUACCGCGAAAUCUCGCGCCUGCAGGACAUGCCGACGCGUGACAACGCGCAGCAAGCGCGUCUGGACGAGUUUUUGGACAAGUUCACGUACGAGGGCGACGCGACGUGCGCCGCGGAUGGCAUGUGCCAGGUGAAGUGCCCCGUCGGCAUCAACACCGGCGAGCUCGUCAAGUCGAUCCGCGAGCGCGACCUGAAGAAGCAGUCCACGGCGACGUCGGGCGCCAACGCGCUCGCGAGGAACUUUGCCACGUUCCAGAGCGUCGUGCCCACGUUCCUGAACCUCGUGUCCGCCGCGCACGGCGUCCUCGGCGGCGGCGUGCUGAAGAGCGUCUCCGGCGCGUUGAACAAGGUUUCCGGGAACUUGAUCCCGGUGUGGAACGAGCACAUGCCCACGGGCGCGCCGUCGCUGCCGGCGCCGAACAUGCCGUCGUCGAGCGCGACGCAGCGCGCGGGGGUCCCUCGCAAGGUUGUCUACCUCCCAUCCUGCGUCACGAGGAUGAUGGGCCCGGCGAAGGGCGACUCUGCGUCCAUCGGCGGCGUCCCGGACGCGAUGAUGAGCAUCCUGAAAAAGGCGGAUUACGAGGUUGUGUACCCGGAGUCGCUCUCGUCGCAGUGCUGCGGCAUGCUCUUCAACUCCAGGGGGUUCAAAGCCACCGCCAGCGGCAAGGGCGAUGAC